This 983-nucleotide ribosomal RNA is filed under the name Phelotrupes laevistriatus. Its description in RNAcentral is "partial 16S ribosomal RNA". The record is from RNAcentral. Lineage: Eukaryota; Metazoa; Arthropoda; Insecta; Coleoptera; Geotrupidae.
UAAUAGUUAUUUAUUUUAAUUUUCUCGAUUUUAAAAGAGCUAAGAAAUUAUUUAUUUUAUUGUAACAUAAAUAUUUAAAAUUUUUUUUUAGUAAUGAAACGUUAUUCGUUUUUAAAUAUAUCUAGUUAUUUGAGAAAUAAAUUUAAUUUAGCUAUUUAAAUAAUAUAAAAUUAAUUGAUUAAUUUAAUAUUUUAAAUAUUUAAUAUUUUAAGGGAUAAGCUUUAAAAUAAAUUUUUAUAAAAAUAAAUUUUAAAAUGAAAAAAGUUGUAGAAUUAGAAUUAUUCAUCAUUAAUAAUAUGUUAUUAUUAAUUUUUUUUUAAAAUAUAAUUUAUAUUUUUUUUAAAUAAUUUAUCAAAUUUAUAUAUAUAAUUUAUAUAUAUAUUUAAUAAUGAUAAAAUUAGUAUAAUUUAUUGUAAAAUUAAAUUUUAAAGUAAAGGUUAAGUAAAGGAACUCGGCAAAUAUUUUUUUCGCCUGUUUAUUAAAAACAUGGCUUUUUGAUUAUAAUUUAAAGUUUGACCUGCCCAAUGAAUUUUGAAUGGCCGCAGUAUAUUGACUGUGCAAAGGUAGCAUAAUAAUUAGUUUUUUAAUUGAAAACUGGUAUGAAUGGUUGGACGAGAAAAAGACUGUCUCUAUUUAAUUUAAUUAGAAUUUUAUUUUUAAGUUAAAAAGCUUAAAUUUAUUUAAAAGACGAGAAGACCCUAUAGAGUUUUAUAUAACUAUAAUAUUAUAAUUUAAAGAAUUAAAAUUAUAUUUUUAUAUUUAUAUUUAGUUGGGGUGACUAAAAAAUUUAAUAAACUUUUUUUGAAUUAAAACAUUAAUGUAUGAAUAUAUGAUCCAUUAUUUAUGAUUAAAAGAUUAAAUUACCUUAGGGAUAACAGCGUAAUAUUUUUUGAGAGUUCUUAUCGAAAAAAAAGAUUGCGACCUCGAUGUUGGAUUAAAAUUUACUUUUGGUGUAGAAGCUAAAUAGUUAGGUCUGUUCGACC